CGGCGGCGGCGGCGGUACGAGGCGCGCGCUCGGGGUCCCGGUCGCGAGGAGGAGGAGGAUGUGGCGCGCGGAGGGGAAAUGGCUGCCGAAAACAAGCCGGAAGAGCGUUUCCCAAAGUGUAUUCUGCGGAACUAGCACCUACUGUGUUCUCAACAGCGUGCCACCUAUAGAAGAUGAUCAUGGGAACAGCAAUAGUAGUCAUGUAAAAAUCUUUUUACCGAAAAAGCUGCUUGAAUGUCUGCCGAAAUGUUCAAGUUUACCAAAAGAGAGGCACCGCUGGAACACUAAUGAGAGAUCAUGAUGCAGCCGUCCUUUUGGAUUUCUUUUUAAUAAUGUGUGACCCUUCACCUUUGAUCCCCUGACCUGCAUUACCUUGGCUCUCACCACACACUUGUUCAUGGGCGCGGCAAGAAGAGGGAUCCACAGAGCUGGAGUCGUGAGGGCUGACACAUUGGAAUGAAAGCUGACAGAAUUCAUAGGGAAAUCUUUACCAUCUUGCCAACCCCAUGUCUGGCUUCAAGACAAUUCUAUUAGUGAAUUAAUUGUACUCAAAACCCCAAGCUAAUUUGAACCAAAUGCUGUGGAAAAUGGAAUAGAUUACAGUGACCCACUCUUGCUUCAUCCAGAGUUCUCCUGAAGGAGGUCUGCAGUCUGACCGAGCUCUGGGAAAGCGGGCCUCUAUCCAGUUGCACCUGGCCACAGGGGCCUCAUGACCACCCUCAUGCCCAGACACCUCUCUGUCCCUUAGCAAGCUGGUCUUUUCUCCCUAGCACCUACCCCCUGAGCUACUCUACCCUUAAAUGCUCGGUACCGUCUGUCCCCUACAAGAAUGGAAGCUCCUCGAGAGCAGGGCCUCUGUGUGGUUCACCUUUGUAUCUCCUCCAGUGCGUAGGCCAGUGCGUGGCCAGUGCAGAUUCUAAAUAAAGCUAUGGAAUGAACGGGUCGCUAGCAUUGCAUCCUUUCUGAAUGGUCCCCUUUUAACUUGCCUUUUGUAUGUGACUUUUUAAAGUGAUAAAGCAGUGAAAGUUUGAGUGAUAAAGUAGUGAAAGUUUGGGAGCAAAUACAGAAAGUUUGUUGUGAGUGAAAUGAGUAGCAGCUUAGUUCAGGAUUAGAAUGCAGCAGGGGUAUGAGAUGAGUGUAUCAGGACUUGGGAAUUACGAAUUCUAAACUUCCCGUGUGUUAACAUAUCUCUGCUUCUUGAGGAAGUGAGAAAAAUGGAGAAAGGAGUCAUAUCUCUGGAAGAGAGUCUAGCAGAAACACUGAGAAAUAAAAAUAGGAAGGUAGAAAAUAGGUAAAUAUUUUAAAAUUUCUGUAAUAUUUAACAAUUUAAAAUAAUUUUAGCAAGUAAGAUAAAUCAAAAUAUUUCCUAGAUCAAGUGGGCGUUAACAAAGAUAUAGAGGGAACUUGGAGGCAACAGAAGCAGUUUUGUUCCUAUUACCUUUAUAGAUAACAUAGUUACUCCACCUUUAUUCUUUGUGUAUUGGCCUUGGCUGGAAUACCAAUAUUGUUCUUGCAAAGCUUUGAGUUAUUUAUUUAUUUAUUUUAAACAAAGAGCAAAAACAAAACCAAGGAGACGGUAUCCUGUGAUGCAGGCUGUUAUCUCAAGGUGAGUUUAUUUGUAGCACUAAAUUGUGACGAAUUGUUUGAAGGACUGAAACUUCUUUUCAGGUGUAACAUAUUUUACUUGUCAAGUUUUGUUCAUUUCAUUGUAAACUUAAGUUGUUUGUCACACACUGAAAAAAUCAGCUAAAACCGGGAAGUACAAAGGCCUGACUGAACUUGAAUUUUCUUUCACACAGAGAAGUAACGAGCAUUUCUGGUCAAAUCAGUGAAUAUGUCUCAGUUUCUUUUUUAAAAUAAAAUGUGAAAAGCAAAGGCCAGAUUUUUAUGUACAAAGCAAAACAAAAACAAAAAGCCUUUCAGAGCAUAAUGCAUUUUUCAUUAAAUUUGUUGUUGAAACUAUUCCGAUUAUAUAAUCUCAUCCUCCCAUGACAGCAUAAGAAGUGUGGAUUCUGGGGCGAAAAAGUAAUUGCAGAAGGUGCUUAAUGAGGCAGAACUCACAAAUCUGCAUUUAUAGUUUUGUGGACAAAUAAAUCAUCAGUGGAGGAAACAAAUGUAAAGAAAAAUUCAAGAAAUACAAGGUUGGACUUUUUACUAAAAUAGAGUUUUAAGACCCCUCAGAGGGAUGUUGUGAGUAUAAAUAAGUGUAAUGUGCUUAGAAUUGCAACCUAGGGCGUAGUGAGCACUCUGUAAAUGUUUGCUGUUUAUUAAUACAGGAAUUUUAGUAGGAAAGAUUAAAUCAUAUUUUAGUCUUGCAUAAUAAGCUGCACUGUAAUUUUAUUAUGGUGAAUGUCCACUUCUAAUGCAUUGAAGAGUGGCUUUUUAAAGCAAAGAAGAAAUGGAAAUGCUUUUCUCGGUGCUCUUACGUGUGUGUGGUGUACAUGUAAGAGAUUCAGGGACAGCUUAUCCAAAUGACAGCACGAGUGACCAGAGGUGCAGGAGCAAAUGUGUAACUCUUAGCUCGAUUUUGAAAUAUGUUCUUUUCAUAAGUCUAGAGAGUUGAUUAAUUUGUCUGUACUAUACCCUUUCGCUACAUGUAUGCACUUUUAAGUCUUAUGGAAUGAAAUAGAAACUUAUGACCAACACAUAGUUAAAGUUAUUGUCAAAAUUACAUAUUCAGAAUUCAUUGAUGGGAAAGCUAGUUUUCAUUCAACGUUCCUGCAGUUUAAAUGUGUGACAUACGAGUUUAAAGAGUGAGUCUAUGAGUUAGUGCCCUCUGGUGGCACAUGGAGGACAGCAGGCCGAGAGGGACCCAGCCCAUGAGCUUGCCAUCUUUCUUCUGAAGAGUUGCCACUUCAUAAUGGUUCUGACAGCUUUUCUUUUGGGUAGGUUUCAAGAAGGUCCAUGGUGUGGGUUUAUGUUUUUGUGUGCUUGGUGCUUGUCGCUUUUCUAAUCCAUGACACCCUGGCCUGGAAUUCACCCAGAACGGCCUCCCUAUGGGUCUUCUCUAGCAGCUUAGGUUGUGGGUAAAAUUCUGGGUGAGAGGGUUUUUAGUCAAUUGUUGUAAGAAGGUCUACCAACGUUAAGAUUUUCAACAAGGAACCAAGACAUCUAUUUUUAGAUGCAUCUUUUAACUAGCCUUUUCAAGGAGGAACCCUGUCACUUCCUUGGUUAAGGACUGAUGCCUCCCUGAUGGCCUUUGGGUGACUCAGUGGCACAACUGGAGGCAAACCCUAUAGUUUGGGGUCAAACAGACCUGGAGCUGAAUCCUACUUCACCUCUUAAAAGCUGUGGGACCCUGGAAAAGUUGCUCCGUCUUUUAUGAGUUUCUUUAGCUGUGGAAUAUGGAUGCUGAUGAGGAUCCUAACCGGUGUCCAAAGGGUGAAAUGAGAUGAUAUGUGGAAAAGCCCUGACACUUUGAUGAACACAGGUUGCUACCAAAUAUAUGCUGGUUUCCUUCUCUUCCUUAAAGGCAAGCCCUCCCCUCCUUUAAUUUAAGAGUCAUCUUUUUUUAAUAUACAUUUUAAUUUUUGCAUAGUAUUAGACUUACAGCUUAGUUAUAAAGAUAGUACAGAGUUCCCAUAUACCCCUCAUCUAGUUUCUUUUACAAGCCCUACUUCUAUGAUGAUGUGUUUUCCUGAUCACUUUUCAUAUAUAAUCCCUAUGAAUUUUGAUCAGAUUUGGUUUAAAGUGCCUGUUUAACACUUUGCUGAGGCUGAAACUUUUCACCUUGAAUACCUGAAUUCUGUUGCAGAUGGGGCAUUUGCUUCCAAGUCAUCCUUCUGUUUUUACAUUUAUGUCUGUGACCGUUUGACAUUAGAACAGCCUUCUGUCAUUUCCCAGGUCUUAACAAUAAAUAGUUGCCCUCAUGCGAUUAAUGAGCUGGGGAACCUAAGGAAAGAGGUUAGUCAGAGCCCAAGGCCUUUAGAUCCAUCCUACGAAUGUGCCCAGAACACUUCGAUGGCCAGGAACCUGGCCCAGCCAGUGUCUCCCCACAGCACUGUACACUAACGUUGCUUUGAAAAUGCCUUUUUUUUUUUUUAAUUGGCUAAACUCUACCUUAAUGGUCUUAUUUAUGCUAUUAAUAUGCAUAUAUAUAUAAUAUGCAAAACAACUCUUUUGUAUCUAGUAGACUAUUUCAUUUCAGUUCAGAUCCUUACUGAUAUUAUGAAGCCAGUGUUAUUAAGCCCAAAUGAAUAGAAUCUCCUCAUACUGUACCUUCAGAGGGUGUUGUGGGCUGGGGAGACUGUUGGUUCCUCAGAUGUUUCUGCUCUUACACCGACACUGUCAGUGUCAUCAGCAAGCUCUGAGGUAACUGUAGCCUCUUGUGUGAGGCUUCAACUUGGCUUGUGAUCUGGGAGUUUACGUAUCUGUAUUAGAGAUAAACCUUGACCGUAAGAGAUGGAUGACCUAUUUUUUACAAGAGCUGCUGAGAUAUAUGGAUGAGAACAUGUUCAUGUAGUUUGAAAAAGUGAUAAAAUGGGCCAGGUUCUUGAAAGGCUAGCAGAAAUCUUAUGUAAACAUUUAGGUCUGGUCAAGAAAACAGAAAAUCAGUCUCAAAUGAAUUUUUUUUUUGCAAAUGUGGUCGGGGUCGAUACUUUUAUGUAAAUUCUAAUACCUGUUUCUGUGGUGUUAGAAACUUAAUUUUUGUUUUGUCAUGUGACGGCUUGCUUUGUUGUUGUUUAUUUUUUUGUUUGUUUUUGUAUUUUGGCCAGGCCUUCAUUUCUAACAGUAUCACAUUUAAUCUUUCUGAAAACAUGAGUUUAGAGGAACCCAUAUGCUGGCAGCUGUGUUAUUGUUAGGUGCCGUUGAGUUAAUUCCAACUCAUAGCGACCCCGUGUGACAGAACAGAACUGCCCCAUAUGGUUUUCUAAGCUGUAAUCCUUAUGACAGCAGAUCGCCAGGUCUUCCUCUCAAACUGCUGGAUGGGUUCAUACUUUCAGCCUUUCAGUUAGCAGCCGGUCGCAACUAAUUCCCAGACUGUUACAUCUCAUUGACCACGUUCGUGAUUUGAUGUUUUUUCUUUUUAAUCGGUAAUGUAGAGGUGAAUCUGAGAGGCCAAAAUGUAUGAAUUAAAGUAUGUUUUAAUUUUUUUGAAGUUCUAAUAGUCGUAAUAAAGAAUAAAAAAAAAUUUUUUUUUUUUUUUUUUUUUAAAGACUGAGAGAAGUUUCAGGUUUCUGCCUGUUGAAAUGUUACACCCCUGUAAUAAGAAGACACACCUCUCCAGCCUGGUAUCUAAGAGUUCUGGAGGAGCAUCCAGAGUCGAUCCUUGCUGGUUUCCUAAUGGUCUCUGCAGUAUGGGCAGGCGUGCGACUCCCUUAGAGCAGUUUCAAAUGUCACAUAGCUGGAUAAAAGACCCUACCUCUGAAAGGAUACUCUGCAUAAAAUCUUUGUUGUUUGAAAAGUGGUUCUGGUUGCCCUAUUCAAGUUUAAUGCCUUUUAGGAAGUUAUAAAACAAAUGGAACAAAGCAUUUCCUUCUGUUCUUCAUAGGUUGCUAUGAGUCGGAACCGACUUGAGGGCGCCUAACAACAUGGCAACAUAAAACAAACGAGACUGGCUAGAUGGAACAAGAGGAUGGAUAACCAUUAAUCUAAGAUGGCCCCUGUUGAGAUGUUUCCAGAAUCCAACAUGAGGAUUUUAGCCUUACGUGCACAUGGAGGAGUUGUGUAUCAUAGUAGGGUUAUAUUCAAUUGGGGGGGGAAAGGACACCUACAUAACUGAUCCCAGACAGAGUAGGUGCGAUUCUUGGUUCCCGUUGGAUAGUGAACUUUGCUAUGGAUACUUGAGAGAUGGUAUUAAUGCUUCUCUUUUAGCUUUGGAAUCCUGUAAUACAUUUUGCCAGUCUGAGAAAGAAGCAUUUUGUGUUCAUUAGGAGCCUACUGACACUCACUGGAAAAGAAAUUUAAGAUUUUGGUUGUAUAAUUUAUAUAAUGACCUAAAGCAUCAAGCCCUCUCCCCACGAUGCACAGAAGGUCCAGUUGUUGUUGUUAGGUUCCGAUGAGUCUAUUCCAACUCAUAGAGACCCUAUGUACAGUUGUUAUGCUUGAGCCCCUUGUUGCAGCCACUGUGUCAGUCCGUGUUGUUGAGGGUCUUCCUGUUUUUCCCUGGCUCUCUGCCGAGCCUGAUGUCCUUCUCCAGGGACUGAUCACUCCUGAUAACAUGUUCAAAGUAUGUGAGAUGUAGUCUUGCCAUCCUUCUAAGGAGCAUUCUGGUUGUACUUUUUCCAAGACAGAUUUGUUUGUUCUUUUGGCAGUCCAUAGCACAUUCAGUAUUCUUCACCAACACAAUUCAAAGGCGUCAGUUCUUCCGAUCUUCCUUAUUCAUCGUUCAGCUUUCGCAUGCAUAUGAGGCAAUUGAAAACAGCAUGGCUUGAGUCAGGCGCACCUUAGUGUUCAAGGUGACAUCUUUGCUUUUCAACACUUCAAAGAGGUCUUUUGCUGCAAACUUGCCCAAUGGAAUAUGUCUUUUGAUUUCUUGACAGCUGCUUCCAUGGGUGUUGAUUAUGGAUCCAAGUAAAAUUAAAUCCUUGACAAUUGCAGUUUUUUCUCUGUUUAUUGUGAUGUUGCUUAUUGGUCCAGUUGUGAGGAUUUUUGUUUUCUUUAUGUUGAGGUGUAAUCCAUACUGAAGGCUGUGGUCUUUGAUCUUCAUCAGUAAGUACUUCAGGUCCCCUUCACUUUCAGCAAGCAAGGUUUUGUCAUCUGCGUAACGCAGGCUGUUAACGAGUCUUCCUCCCAUCCUGAUGCCCAUUCUUCAUAUAGCCUGGCUUCUCGGAUUAUUUGCUCACCCAUACAGAUUGAAUAAGUAUGGUGAAAGGAUACUACCCUGACACACACCUUUCCUGACAGUCCAAUUAGCCAAAUAUUUAUCCAGGGUACAAAUUUUUUUCAGUCAUGGUUAGAUGCUUCAUUCUGUUUUUUUCUUUUCGUUUUCUUUACAUACCAGAUAGAUGUACAUUGAAAAAUAAAACAAACUCCAGUGUUUAAAGGUUGAACAUUACAGUCUGUACUUAGAGUUGCCUUUUGGCAAGCGCAGUUAGUAAAUGGGAACUGGGGCGAUUGUUUAUUGUGAAUGAGCCUGUCUUUUUAAUGCUUACCAGUUCACCCUGGACUGAAUGAAAUGGAGUAGGUUUUACAUUUUAAGUUGUAUUUUGAGAACCAACCAUUCAUGAUGAAAGCAGAGUUUCUGCAAAGUUUGUUUUAAAGAUAAUGCUACCCAUUAUUUCUGUGAACCCAAUAAAAAUAGCAUGGAAUAAAAUUUAAUUAUGCUAUACUGAAUAUUUCAUGUGGAAUUAAGGGGCAAGAGUUGCCUUUAAAAGGCAUUUGGCUUGGAAAGAGUAAAGGCUUUGCAGGUUCUUUGGAAGAUACUAUAAUUAAAAGAUUUGUUCAAAUGUAUUUUUCCCUUUUUGAAGAGUUUAAAGAAAUCCAUCCCCCCUUCCUAAAUUGAUUACCUCUCAAACCUCAGCCCUGCUUGGCAGUAUAUGCCUGGGAAGCUGCUACUGUGCUGAUGUGGCUACUUCUUUCUGCUCAACGUAAAAUAGGUGUUUAAUCUUCUGAUUUGGAUGUUUUAAUAGAAAGUAAAUGUUCGACUUGCUUUGGUUUCUGCUGAACCUGUAUUUAAAUCCACAGAGUUUGAAUAAAGUGCAAACAUCACUGGACUAACCAUUUUAAACAUUUCAGGAUGUAAGAAUUCUAAAUGGGGUUCCCUUUUAAAGAUAGAAAUGGCUGCUUGCAUUUACAUGAUUACUGCUAACUAGCAUAACAUUUUAAAUGGUGACAAACUCAGGGUAGAAAAAGUAUCUGUUUUAAAAGGGCUGGUAAAAGGAAGCUGAAAAUGCUCUGUGAGCAGCUGCGCCCAUGGAGGGCCCUCUGCAAAGCCAGGAAGCCCAAGAACUUUCGGUAGGGAGGGUGGUGUCAUGGGAGGAGGGGAGUAGCUCAGGAAGGAUUCUCGUAGACUCCGGCAAUGUGUCCCUUAGGCUGAAACUUACCACCUUUCAUUUUGAAGCGUGAGUAUAAGUAUUGGUACUUAAAUCUGCUCUGCAUUUUUGGAACAGGUGCAGUGUUCUCCAUCCCUGUUAAAAGGUGUCUAGUGAAGGUUGACAUUCAAGGUUGAUGAAAAGAAUACAGGAGAAUAUUUGUGAAAAUGAAGAUGAGAGAUCUUAGACAAACUCAAUAGUAGUUCAAGCCAGAAGCUCAGGAGUAUCCUUGAUUAUGCCCUUUUUUUCUAUCCCAAACAUCUAAUCCAUCUAAGUUUUUUGAUUCUCCUUCUAAGACAUAGAUAUAUCCAGAUUUCCACAUCUCCACUGGUAUCCCCUAGUCCAAGCCACCGUUGUUUUCUUUGCUUGGACAUCUGUGACAUUAUCCUAUUUAGAUCUCCUGCCUCUAAUCUUGCUCCCUUGCAGUAUAUUCUUUAUACAGGAGCCAGGGCAAGCUGUUAAGAAUGUAGACAGGAUUGUGACACUAGCUUGCUUAAAUCCUACACUGAAUUUUUAUCCACUUGAGAACAAUUGACCUGUGGAAUCCUGUCGCCAAGACAUCUCUCAUUUCCCACCACUUGCCCCAUCCUUCAGGCACAUUGGGCCUUUCCGUACCUAGAAUAUACCAAGCGUGAUUUUUUAUGCUUUAGCUGAUUCCUCUGCCUGGAGUGUACUCCCUCAAACCCCCACCCCCUCCAUGUUUGUAUAUUGGCUCCUUCAUGCCUCACCUCAAAUGUUGUGUCCUCAGAGAGCCCCUCCCUUCGCUACCCAAGCGGACAUAAUCCCCCAUCACUCUUAUCACAUGUUAGUUUUCUUUUUUUUUUUCCAUAGCAUUUGUUACUGCCUUUUUAGAUAUUCUCUCUCCCUUUUUUUUUUUGGCCUUGUCCCCUCCUCGCUACACUAGAAUGUACGCUCUUUUAGGACUGGGGCCUUAUCUGUCUUGUUCUCGGCUGCGUCCCCAGCAUCUAGAAGUGCCCAUAAGCACACAGAUACUGAUUAAAUGAAUGCAGAACAGAACUCUGAAGAUGGCUAACACCCAAGGAGGGCUCUGUGGUGGUGUGAAUAACCAGGCAUCCAGGAAAGGUUGUCCUGAAGUCUUUGUUAACGUCUCCGCAGGUGUUUUUUGGAAUUGUUUGGGAAACACUGGUCUAGACCUUGCCUUUUUGGAUGGAAAGCUGAAAUCUAAGGAUUCUUAGGAUGGCUGUACUUCAACAGAAUCAGCUUCUGUCCCAAGAAGGACAUGGGAAGUGGUUCUCAGGGCCCCCUGAAUGAUCUGAGAUGAAAUAGCAAGUAUUCACAGUGUUCUUGGUCAUAGAAGUAAGAUUAGCUAGUGGUAGUUUGCUUCCUGGCUGGUGGUAGUGGCACAGCACUGCCUCCCUUUGCUAAAAACUGGAUUUGAACUCCCUUGCAUCCAGCUUGAUAGCCAGGCCUCAUUUUCUGUGACUUGUCUUGUGGCAUCUUUCUUAUGAGCAUGGGUGGGGACAAUUGCUAUGUUCAAUAUUCAUUCCGGGGUUGGGGAGGUAUAUCUGCUGAGAUAUUUGCAGAUAACUUUGGUGAGCAGUGUUCCGCUUCCCUGAUUUUCCUUCUGAUAACAUUUCAGUUUUCUUAAGAGGAAGCUGUGGUAAGGCUACUGAUACCUAGGAAGUUGUUGAGGGUGCUAGGAGGUAGUUAAUUAAACCGUUUUCAUUCAACUUCCUUAGGGAAGAAAAGAAUCACAUUUCCAACUCACUGGGUCUCAGAUAUAUUAUGCUAUUUGAAGCAUUUACUUCAGUCUCAAAUAUGCUAGUUGGGGACUGGGCUGUAGAACUCAGGAGACCUGUCUGUUAAGCAAAAACUCCCCAUUCAACUUUACAUUCUUGUUGCUGUCUUUAUCAAGGCAUUAUUAGAGUGGUUGGCUUGUACAAAUAAAAGCAGUAAAUUCUCAGUUAAUUUAUAGUGAAAUAGACCUUCGUAGAGUGGAUACCUAGGAAUAAAGCCCUUGAACUGGAAUAUUUGAGUUCAUUUGACUAAACAUCAACUCAUUAGAUUUAAGAAAUUCCCUCCCUUCUCAUGUUUGGAUCCUAAUGUCACCCAAGGUAAGGUGCCUUGAUUUUACUUGGUUCCCACUUGCCCAACUAGAGAACAAGUUCAAGUUGGAGGAGGCAGACAUCCUGCAUCUUGACAGUCACAAAAGGGUCUGGCCUUUCAGGGACCAGAUGUGUGAAAUACAGCUGGGUGGAUGUGGCUGGAAAAUAGGUUUCGACCAGCCUGUGAAGAGCCUCAUGUGCAAGAAGUAGGCAACCACACAGAUUGUUUUCUCCCUGGCAAUGAGAUGGUGGCUGGUUGUGUGUUUAGGGUCAGCUGGCAUCAGGGAGAAGAAUUGGGAGUACCUGUCAGUCGCUGGUUUCCUAGUUGUUGGAAACUCCAUAAGCCUGUCUUUCUUGGAAGCCAUUUUUCUUUUAUGACAAACAUUAUGAGAUACCCCCCCAAAUUGUGUUAUUUCUGAUUUAGCUCUUUGUUUGAUUGCUUUUGAAGUUAACGAGGUUUAAACCACUGAAUGUUCUGAAUAUUCUCAUACACACCUGGGUACUAACCAAAAAAAAACAAAGCCAAAUUUGUUACUGUCCAGUUGAUUCUGGCUCAUAGUGACCCUAUAGGACAGAGGAGAACUGCCCCACAGGGGCUGGUGGAUUAGAACUGCCAACCUUUUGAUUAGAAGCCAAGCUCCUAACCACUGUGCCACCAGAGCUGCACCUGGGUACUAUUCUGGUAAGCAUUUGAACAGCAUUGACUUGGCCACAUGGAUUAUUGGAAAUUGGCAUGUGCAGUGCACUUGACAUUGUAUUUGACACGCUUUCAGUAUAUGGUUGUUGCUAGUUGCUGUUGAGUUGACUCUGACUCAUGAUGACCUCAUGUGUACAGAGUAGAACCGCUCCACAGGGUUUUCAGGGCUGUGACCUUUUGGAAGCAGAUUGUCAGGCUUGUCGUCUGAGGCGCGUCAGGGAGAGUUUGAACCAUGGACCCUUCAGCUAGUGGUUGAGUGCUUAACCGUUUGUGCCACUGAGGGACUCUUCAAUAUAUGGUACUUAUUAUUUAAUUAUUGGAAAGAUGGCUUUUCAUAUGGGGUUCUUGAUCUAACUUGAAGAAAGUGAGGUUGCCCCUCAUGGAUAGCCAGCUGGGUUGUGUUUAACCAGCCUUGAAUGUGAGCAAAGGAAAAGCACACGUUGCCUGUUAAUUUCUCUUUUCCAGCCUUUAAAGAACCAAUGUGAUUUCCUGCCCACAGACAGCUUGGUUUUCUUUUUCUAGUCCUUUCAUGACUGAAAUAUUUGCAGAAAUUUCUGGCUAGCCACCAGUCCAGAGCUUUCCGUCUUUGCAGAUGUUGUGCCUAAUAGUAUCUGAAAAUCCCAUGAGUUGAAAGUUUUUUCUUUUGGAAAGUUGGACUUCUGAUGGUUCAGUUACUAUAGUUUUAUAUUCCUUGUCUUUGGCACUGUGGUUGGCUUGUAAAUCUAUCUUAUAGUUGGUUUAGAAACUUAAAUGUAAGUUAAAUUUCAGUGUCCUUGAUUGAAAGAAAACUAAAAAUUAUGUAUACUUUACAAGAUUGCCCAUCUAUUACCCAUUCCUCAGGUUGUAGUGUUGGAAGGAGAUUAUUCAGACUGUUUUCCAGGCAGAUAAGCUGAAGCUCACAGAGGAUAAGAGAAUGGGCUCAUAGUAACUGGGAACAGUGUUCAGGUGGCAUUGACUUUGAGUGGCCCCUCAAGGUAGUACAAAUGGUUUCCAGGAAGAGUUCCGGAAAUACACCAGAAAAGGAUGUUCAUGAGUCUCAUCUCAAAUGGAAUUUCCUUUGCUCCAGCUGGCCAAGCUAGACUGAUUCCUAGAAGGGCCUCUGGCCUCUCAUCAUGUACCAGGCCUCCAAACAGGUAUUCAGUUGACACAGAGCCCCAGGUUUGUUUUAUUUUUUAAAUGGAGAAAUGGAUGAUCUAGACCCAGCUCCAAGGUGCUACUGUCUUGCAUUACCUUCAGGUGCCUGAGCCCUUACAAUCUGCUCUCAUGUGGAUCUGUAGGGAAAAGGCGGGCAGUUCUGCAGAGUCUGUGAAGUCAUCUGUACCUUGGCUGCUUCUUCAGGGUGGGAGGGUUUGCUGCCCUUGACAACUCUGCUCGCCAGCCUGGAAGUGUGCCCAGCCUGCUUCUACGUGUUUGACGCACUAUCGACAAUAAAUAAUCAUCGUUGCAGUGUGAUGGCUGAGAGGCAGACUCCAGCCAGUGUGUGCUGGGUUGUAGUGUUUUCCUGAUGGAUGGCCCCUAUUCUGGGAAGCAGCUUAUUGUCUCACGUGAACAGGCUUUCUAAAAUAAAUGACUGCUUUCUUAAUAUUUUGAAUCAUUUUCUUCAGCACAUGUUUUGUUGCUGUGGUUUGAAAGCUUGCCAAAUAUAUGCCUUUGCACAACUCCCUGUAGGGCUGGAUAUAAAAUCAGACCAAACAAUGUGAUUUAAGGUUGAACAUAAUCACUUGCCUUGCAUUUGAUAGAAUAGCAGUGGAGUGCUUGAGAGUCAUUUCUCUUUUAAAAAAUUAUGUAUAUAAUAUGCACACACAAACAUACACGCAUAUAUAGCUUCACUGCCUCAUAAUAAAAAAGUCAUGUCUGAAACCACUGGGCAAAAACACUAGCAUGAUAAAGAAUUACUUGUGUGGCAGAGGCAAUAAUUAACUUAAAAAAAUCAUAGCAGUUGAUACUAUAAAUGUAACUGAGGACCUUAGUCGAAUUAUAUAAGGUUGCAGGAUGGGAAAAAAAAUCAAAUGGUACAGAAAUACAUUUUAAACCGAAGCCCUUGUGAAUACUUUCAUUAGUUCACCUGUUUCUUUGUUCUGUGUACUUGAAUAAUUGAGCCAUAAACUUGGUGAACUUGGUGUUGCCUACCAGUUAAACAAGGGUCUUUGGUGUUUAUAUUUCAAACAUUGUUGUAUGUUUGUUGUUCCUGGAUUGUCAGCUACCUGUAAUUGAGACCUUUUCAUGUGCCUGUUGUAUUGGUGGAAAAAGUGUAGUUAACAGCCCCACUCCCUGGAGCUCUUUAAAAGAUGAAAUUGAGAGCUCUUUGAGAAGUCACAUGUGAAAUGCAAAGUUUGUUUACCAGGCCAAGAGAGAGAUCAUGUUGCAGAAGCUUAUGGUAAAUAUUCGGAUAAUAGAGGGUAGAGGUGCGCUAAGACAUCAGCUUCUUCAUUCGCUGGUAUGUUGGAGUUCUUCAGGCUUGCUGCCAGCAUUACAUCCUGCACAGGAGAAAGAGGUGCUGUGUAGAAGGAAUAACUUUGAAACUGUGAACCGUGUCUAAGUUGUCACAGGAACCAGAGUUCUUCGAUGAUGGCAUCCCAUUGCAGUGCACAUAGCCUCCCGAUGUCCCUUGUUAGAGGGUGUAUUCUAACAAGGAAAGAAAACUCUCUGAGGUCAAAAUUUUACAGUUUCAUUUGUGCAUUUAAAAUGGAUUUUCUCCAAGUUUUUUUUUUUUUUGAGUUUCAGACAGAAUAAUCUCAUUCCAGAAUUUAACUUUUAUUUGCAAAUAACAUGAUUAUAAAAAACACCUACAAGAAUAAGUGAAUUUAACAAGGCUGCAGCAUACAAGGCCAAUUGCAUUUCUGUUAGCAACAAUUGGAAAAUGAAAUUUAAAAAUUAAUAUUGUUUACAAUAGCUUCAAAAACAUCAAAUAUGUUGGAAUAAGAUUAAGGAAAAUAAAGUGUAAGACCUCUUCACUGAGGGCUACAGAACAUUGUUGAGAGAAAUUAGAGAUCUGUAUAAACGGAGGGCUCUGCUAGGGUUUGAAAGAUGGUGUUGUUAAGAUGUCUGUUUUCCCUAAAUUGAUUUAUGAAUUCAGUGCCAUCCUAGCCAGAAUUUCAGCAGGUUUUUUUUUUUUUAAAGAAAUAGACAAGUUGAUUGUAAAAAUGUAUGGGGACGUGGAAAGGACCUAGAAAAACCAAAUCGAUUUUGAAAAAGAACAAAGCUGAAGAUUGUACUGCCUGAUUUCAAGACUUCCUAUAAAGCUACAGUAAUCAAGACAGUAUGGUAUUGCUAAAGGAUAGACACAUAGAUUAAUGGGACCGAAUAGACAGUCCCAAAAUAGACUCACACAUAUAUGGCCAAUUGAUUUUUGACGAAGGUGCAAGGCAAUUUAAUGGAGAAAGAGUAGUCUUUUCAACAAAUCAUACUGGAACAAUUGGACAUCCGUAUGCAAAAAAAUGAACCUCAACCCAUACCUUGUGCCGUAUACAAGAAUUAACUCAAAAUGGAUCAUAGACCUAAGUUUAAAUUCUAAAACUUUUAGAAGAAAACAGGGGUGAAAGUUUUUGUAACCUUGGAUUAGGCAAAGAUUUCUUAGAAACAACCCCAAAAGCACAAUUCAUGAAAGAAAAAAUGGGUGUCAUACUUCUUCAAAAUUAAAAACUUCCGUUCUUCAGAAGAGACCAUUAGGACAAUGAAAAAGCAAGUCACGCAUUGGGAGAAGACCUUUGCAAAAUAUACAUCUAAUAAAGGAUUUGUGUCCAGAAUAUAUACAGACCACUUAAAACUCAAUAAUAAGAAAAUAAUCCAAUUUAAAAAUGGGUAAAAGAUUUGAAUAGAUAAUUUAAGAUAUGCACAUGCAACUGAGCACAUGAAGAGGUGUUUAACAUCGUUAGUCAUGAGGGAAAAUGAAAAUCACCACAAUGAUAUAGUACUACAUACCUAUUACCAAAAAAUCAAACCAGACCAAACCAUUGAGUCAAUUUUGACUCAUAGCAACCCUGUAGGACAGAGUAGAACUGCCCCAUAGGGUUUCCAAGGAGUGGCUGGUGGAUUUGAACUGCCAGCCUUUUGGUUAGUAGCCAAGCUCUUCACUACUACGCCACCAGGGCUUCAUACACACUACCAGAAUGCUUAAAAACCUGAUAAUACCAAUGCUGGUGAAGAUGCAGAACAACUGGAAUUCUCAUAACUUGUACAGCCACUUUUUUUUUUGGAAACCCAAAAAGGUGUUUAUCUAUUAUUUUCAUUUUAUUGUGCUUUAGAUAAAGGUUUACAGCUCAAGCUAGUUUCUUAUUUGAAAAUUUAUACACAUUUUGUGACAUUGGCUGCAAUCCCCACAAUGUGACAGCACUCUCCCCCUUGCCACCCUGGGUUCCCUGUGUCCGUUCGUCGAAUUCCUGAUCCUUCCUGCCUUCUCAUCUUGCUUUUGGGCAAGACUUAUCCAUUUGGUUUUGUAUAUUUGAUUGAACUAAGAAGCACGUUCCUCAGUUGUGUUAUUGUUUGUUUUAGACGCCUAUCUAAUCUUUGUCUGAAAAGUGGGCUUCGGGAGUGGUUUCAGUUCUGAGUUAGCAGAGUGUCCGGGGGCAGUAGUCUCAGGGUUCCUACAGUUUCUGUCAGCCCGGUAAGUCUGGCCUUUUUUUGUGAAUUUGAAUUUUGUUCUACAUUUUUCUCCUGCUCUGCUGGGACUUUGUUGUGAUCCCUGUCAGAGCGGUCAGUGUUGGUAGCUGGGCUGGUCUGAGGCUGGUGGAGGCUUUGGUUCGUGUCCAUUAGGCUUUUGGGCUAAUAUUUUCCUUGUGUCUUUGGUUUUCUUCAUUUUCGUUUGCUCUGAAUGGGAUGGGACCAAUAGAUGUGUCUUAGAUGGCCACUCACAAGCUUUUAAGACCCCAGAUGCUACUCGCUAAAGUAGGAUGUAAAACAUUUUCUUUAUGAACUAUGUUAUGCCAGUUGAUCUAGAUGUCCCCUGAGAUGUACAGCCACUUUUGAGAACAGUUUGACAGUUUCUUAUGACACAGCAGUCCCACCUCUACAUAUUUACCUAAGUUAUGUUCACAUAAGAACUUAUAUGUGAAUGUUUAUGGUGGCUUUCUUCAUGAUCUUCAAAAACUGAAAACAACCCAAAUACCUUCAACUGGUGAAUAAUUAAACAACUUCAUUGGAAGACUACUCAGCAAUAAAAAGGCAUAAACUGACAUAAUGUGGAUGAAUCUUAAUAGUAUUAUGCUAGUAAAAAGAAACCAGAUCUAAAAAGCUACAUACUGUCUGAUUCCAUUUAUAUGACAUUCUGGGAAAGGCAAAAUCUGUAUGGAAAGCAGAACCAUCGUUGCUGGGGGCUGGGGAUGGGAUUGACUACAAAAGGGCACAAAGAAACUUUGGGGUGAUGGAAAUUUCUUGUAUCUUGUUUACAUAAGUAUAUACAUUUGUAAAAAUGCAUAGACCUAUACACUAAAAGGGUGAAUUUUAAUGUAUGCAAAUUAUACCUAAAAAGCCUGACUGAAAAAAGAGACACCAUUAAGAAAAUGAAAAGACAAGCCAUGGGCUGGGAAAAAUAUCUGCAACACAUUUAUCUGACAACUUACCCAACAUAUAUAAAAAAAUGCAUGCAAAUCAACAAUAAAAAGAUGAACAACACAAUGAAAACUUGGUUAAAGACUUUGAACAAGUUAUUUCACAAAAGAAGAUUUACAAAUGGUCAAUAAACAUGAAGAGGUGCUCAACAUCUUUAGUCAUCAGGGAAAUACAAAUUAACAUCGCAAUGAGAUGCCAUUUCACAUCUAGUAAAAUGGCUAAAAUAAAAAGGACUACCAACAUCAAAUGUUGAUGAGAUUGUGGAGCAACUAGAACUCCUGUAUAUUGCUGAUGAGUGUGUUAAGUGGUAUGGCCUAUUUGAAGACCUGUUUGGCGAUUUUAAUGAAACGUACUGUAUGAUCCAGUAGUUCUACUCGUCGGUAUUUACCUUUGUUUUUAGGUGUUGUUGAGUUGGUUCCAACUCAUGUUGACCCUGUGUACAACAGAAAUAAACACUGCCCGGUCCUGCACCAUUCUCACAAUCAUUGUUAUGUUUGAACCCAUUGUUGCAGCCUACUGUGUCAGUCCAUCUCGUUGAGGGUCUUGCUGUUUUUCACUGACCCUUUUCUUUACCAAGCAUGUUGUCCUUCUCCAGGGACUGGUCCCUCCUUCUUGUUGUUGUUGUUAGGUGCCAUUGAACUGGUUCCAACCCAUAGUGGCCCUUUAGAACAGAGUAGAACUGCCCCGUAGGGUUUCCAAGGAGUGACUGGUGGGUUUGAACUGCUGACUUUUUGGUUAGCAGCCAUGUACUUAACCACUGUGCCACCAUGGGGAGAUGAAAAUAAAUGUUCACAAGAAGUACAAGAAUAUUUGUAGCCCAAAACUGGAAACAGCCCAAAUAUUCAUCAACUGAAAAUUGAAUAGACAAAUUGUUUAUACAAUGGAGCAAUGAACAAUGAACUAUUGAUACAAUAUGGAUGGAUCUCAAAAACAAAAGAUGAGCCCUUCCAUGUUGGGUUUCCUCACUGUAAAAUGAGGAUAAUAAUACUGACUAUUGUUGUGGGGACUAAAUGAUUAAAACAUGUCCAGUGCUGGAAAAGUGCCUGGCAUAGUCACUGCCAUCGAGUUGAUUCUGACUUAUAGCAGCCCUAUGGGACAGAGUGGAGCUGCCUUGUAGGGUUUCCAAGACUAAAUCUUUACAGAAGUAGACUACCACAUCUUUCUCCCACAGAGCAGCUGGUGGGUUUGAACUGCUGACCUUUUGGUUUGCAGCAGAGCGCUUGACCACUGCGCCACCAGGGGUUCUUGAGUAAAUGUUAUAUGUGCUUAUUUAAUAUAUAAGUAAAACUAAACAUGAAGGUUAACCUCAAAUAGUCUGGGGGGUGGGGGGGAAACAUGCAUUGCCUUAGUCAUCUAGUGCUGCCGUAACAGAAAUAACCACAAGUGGAUGGCUUUAACAAAGAGGAAUUUAUUUUCUCACAGUCUAGUUGGUUAGGGGAAGGCUUUCUUUCUCUGUCAACUUUGGAGGAAGGUUCUUGUCCUCAAUCUUCCUUUGGUUGAAGAGCUUCCAGGUGCAGGGACCCCGUGUCCAGAGGACACGCUCUGCUCCUGGCGCUGCUUUUUUAGUGGUAUGAGGUCCCCAACUCUCUGCUUGCUUCCCCUUCCUUUUUAUCUCUUGAGAGAAAAAGGUGGUAUAGGCCACACCCCAGGGAAACUCCCUUUACACUGGAUCAGGGAGGUGACCUGAGUAAGGGUGGUGUUACAAUCCCACCCUAAUCCUCUUAACUUAAAAUUACAAUCACAAAAUGGAGGACAACCACAUAAUACUGGGAAUCAUGGCCUAACCAAGAUGACACAUAUUUUUGGGGGGACACAAUUCAAUCCGUGACAUACGUACUGUGUGAUUGCAUUUAGAUAAAAUCCAAGGACAGACAAAACCAAUCUAUGGUGAUAGUGAUUCUUGAGGGUGGAAGGGGAAUUGAAAGAGGCACAAACUUUUUGGGGUGAUGAAAAUGUGUGAAACCCUGUUUUGGGUGGUGAUUAUGUGGGUGUAUACAAUUGUUAAAACUUAUUGAACAGAUCAAGAUCUGUAUAUAUUAUUGUGUGCUAAUUAUACCUUAAUAAAAAUAUCUUAAAUACUUCUAUAGACAUUUUAUUAAAUCUGAAAUUAAAAAAAUCUUUUAUUCUGUUUGGUCAUCACUACAUGAAUUUUGACAUAACCUAGAUUUCUGUGUGAUACAUCUUGUUGGCAUUAUCCGGAAUUCUUCUGAGACAAGAGGCUUCUAAUUGAGCUAUUUGACAUGGCUCAAAGUUUCAGAAUAUCAAAAGGACAGGUAAGUAACCUGUGCUUUUUUCUGACUCUGGUUCCUGCAGGACCUGCCUUUACUUACCAGUUAACCAUUUGUAGAAUCUCACGGUUGGAAAGAUCUUGGAGACUUUCCAUGUGCCCUAACUAUAAGGGACAACUUCUUCUAGAAGCUAAUGUGGCUGGAAUUCCAGCCUUAUGGGUUGAGCUGGAUAAGUGGGAAAGAAGGAGCAACCAUGUGGCCACAGGAUUGCAAAGAAGCUCUUCUUCCGGCUCCCUUUGAAUGUCAAGGUUCUUGCUGUGGUCCUUCUCUUCUCUCUACACUCUCUGUAGGAGCGUUGUCCGUGGGCACGGCUUCCACCAUCGCCUGUCUGCUGAUGACCCCCAAAUUAUCUGCAAAUUCAUCUUUCUCUUCUGAGUUCAAACUUUAUUGCUCUCUCUCCUCCACUCACAAAUGUGCUAUCAUUCUCAUCUUAUGUAAAGUUUCUUUCAACCCUUUCCUGCUACUAUUUUAUCUUUCCAUUUCCUCAAAUUCUGUUCUUAACCAUCGAAGUCUGGCAUCUGCUUCCCACCCCAUUCUAGAGAAACUUCUCACUUUAGGAUUCACUGAGAACUCAGAAUUACUAAACCCCUGUAGCCUGUUUUCAGCCCCUCACCCUUCCUGGCUUCUCUGUAGCAUUUGUUACUGUCGACUGCCUACUUCCUGAAAUCUUUCUCUUUCCUUGGCUCUGGGACGCCAUUCUCUCUCCGGCCUCAAUACUCAAUCCCUGCCUUUUUUCCCGGCUGCCCUUUGAGAUUGCCGCUGUCCAGUUUGAUAUCCUUGGUCCUUUUUUCUCUCACUAAAAGAUCCCUGGGCUCUCAUCCUUUCUGAUGGUUUAGAUUUACAUUCAUAGACUGAAGACACCCCCUUCUCUAUCUUUAGACCCUACUUCUCCCUCAGGUUUCAAGUCCUUAUUUCAUAUUGCAUACUGAACACUUCAAACUCAGGGUGUCCAAAACCAAACUCAUCAUUUUCCCCCCAACUUGCUCUUUCUCUGGUUCAGGGUGUCCCUGGAGACCAGUGUCCCAGGCUAAUAAACUGGAGCCUCCUUGAUGCAUUUGGGCACUCCGUGGCAUCAGUGGAUGAUGAAGAUCCACAGGUUCUGCGUGUGAAACUUCUUUGUGAUCUGUCUUCUCCAUCUCCUGCUAUUGCCCUAGCUUGGGCCCUGUGACCCCUCUGAACUCUUCCUGGUUCUCCCAGCCUCAUUCUUCCUUUCUCCAGCCCACUUCCACCUUCAGAUACCCCCCUACUCUGCAGGAUAAAGCUUCACCUCCUUCGAAUGACCAUGAAAUCCUUU
RNA transcript from Loxodonta africana (African savanna elephant), 19865 nucleotides. It is a transcript of the gene named calmodulin binding transcription activator 1, with no coding region annotated. The record is from RefSeq and is a predicted model, not a curated record. Lineage: Eukaryota; Metazoa; Chordata; Mammalia; Proboscidea; Elephantidae. The transcript is spliced from 5 exons.